RNAcentral lists this transfer RNA (64 nucleotides) under Ceratoglyphina styracicola. Its description in RNAcentral is "tRNA-Val". The record is from RNAcentral. Lineage: Eukaryota; Metazoa; Arthropoda; Insecta; Hemiptera; Hormaphididae.
UAAUAAAUAUCUAAAUUUUAAGUAUAUCAUUUACAAUGAUAAGAUGUUUUGUUAACUUUAUUUA